CAGCAGUCACGGGAAUACAGAGGGUGCGAGCGUUAAUCGGAUUUACUGGGCGUAAAGCGUGCGUAGGCGGCUUCUUAAGUCGGAUGUGAAAUCCCUGAGCUUAACUUAGGAAUUGCAUUCGAUACUGGGAAGCUAGAGUAUGGGAGAGGAUGGUAGAAUUCCAGGUGUAGCGGUGAAAUGCGUAGAGAUCUGGAGGAAUACCGAUGGCGAAGGCAGCCAUCUGGCCUAAUACUGACGCUGAGGUACGAAAGCAUGGGGAGCAAACAGGAUUAGAUACCCCCGUAGUCCCUGUCUCUUAUAC
This 301-nucleotide ribosomal RNA is filed under the name uncultured bacterium. RNAcentral's name for it is "partial 16S ribosomal RNA". It matches the Rfam family "Bacterial small subunit ribosomal RNA", at positions 509 to 807 of the family's 1533-position model. The record is from RNAcentral.